Molecule: ribosomal RNA, 519 nt
Filed under: uncultured eukaryote
Lineage: Eukaryota
Description: SSU rRNA
Rfam family: Eukaryotic small subunit ribosomal RNA
Source: RNAcentral
AGGGCACCACCAGGAGUGGAGCCUGCGGCUUAAUUUGACUCAACACGGGAAAACUCACCCGGCCCGGACACUGGAAGGAUUGACAGAUUGAGAGUUCUUUCUUGAUUCAGUGGGUGGUGGUGCAUGGCCGUUCUUAGUUGGUGGAGUGAUUUGUCUGGUUAAUUCCGAUAACGAACGAGACUCUAGCCUAUUAAAUAGAUCGUUGGCUUACAAACGCCGGCGAGACUUCUUAGAGGGACAGGCGGCGAUUCAGCCGCACGAAACAGAGCAAUAUUUUGGUCUGUGAUGCCCUUAGAUGUCCGGGGCCGCACGCGCGCUACACUGAAGUGAUCAGCGUGCAUUUUGAAACCUACUCUGUCAAGAGUGGGGAACCCAAUGAACCUUCUUCGUGAUUGGGAUAGGGGAUUGUAAUUAUUCCCCUUGAACGAGGAAUUCCCAGUAAGCGCGAAUCAUAAGUUUGCGCUGAUUACGUCCCUGCCCUUUGUACACACCGCCCGUCGCUACUACCGAUUGAAUGUU